This 732-nucleotide unclassified non-coding RNA is filed under the name Hevea brasiliensis (rubber tree). Lineage: Eukaryota; Viridiplantae; Streptophyta; Magnoliopsida; Malpighiales; Euphorbiaceae. The record is from RNAcentral.
AAUGUUUGAGUCCAUAGAUGUGACCCUACUAAGGGACAUGAAGGAGCGGAUCAAUGUGGAACAGCACUGUUUGGCUAGGGAUAUAGUGAAUGUCAUAGCAUGUGAGGGCAAGGAAAGAGUAGAACGUCACGAGCUAUUGGGGAAGUGGAAAUCCAGGUUCAUGAUGGCAGGUUUUCAGCAAUAUCCUUUGAGCUCUUAUGUGAAUUCAGUGAUUAAGGACCUCAUGAAGCGUUACUCGGAGCAUUAUACACUGGUGGAGAAAGACGGAGCUAUGCUGUUGGGGUGGAAGGAGCGGAAUCUAGUCUCUGCGUCUGCUUGGUUUUAACGAGUUACUGUUCAUUAUGUGGAAACAGAUGGUUAGCCUUCUUUUUUAUUACUUAACCAGACAAUAGGAUUGAUCAAGUAAUUAUACUCAUGUUAUGUAGUUUCAAUUUUCUGAAAUUUUAGUUGUUUAUUUUUCAAGUUAUCGUUUGAUAUUAUUUGUUAAAACUUAUAAACAAUUAUAUCUCGUCCUUGAUGAUUUGUUGAGCAACUUUGGAGAUUAUAUCCGGUCCUCGGUUGAUACAAAGGUACAUUAGCAGAAAAUGAAUAGAAAACUGCCCGGAGACCUCUCGGUGCUACCGGAAUCCUGCCUGCUGCCGCUGCUUGUAAGGCAUUAUGGAUAUAGGGAGUUUAGAUACUGAAACACUAUCACAGAUCUAUUAGAGGAGAACACAUUAAAUUUGGUGGGUU